Molecule: ribosomal RNA, 508 nt
Filed under: uncultured bacterium
Lineage: Bacteria
Description: partial 16S ribosomal RNA
Rfam family: Bacterial small subunit ribosomal RNA
Source: RNAcentral
AUUGAACGCUGGCGGCAGGCCUAACACAUGCAAGUCGAGCGGCAGCGGGAAAGUAGCUUGCUACUUUUGCCGGCGAGCGGCGGACGGGUGAGUAAUGCCUGGGGAAUUGCCCAGUCGAGGGGGAUAACAGUUGGAAACGACUGCUAAUACCGCAUACGCCCUACGGGGGAAAGCAGGGGACCUUCGGGCCUUGCGCGAUUGGAUAUGCCCGGGUGGGAUUAGCUAGUUGGUGAGGUAAUGGCUCACCAAGGCGACGAUCCCUAGCUGGUCUGAGAGGAUGAUGGGCCACCCUGGAACUGGGACACGGUCCAGACUCCGACGGGAGGCAGCGGUGGGGAAUAGUGCACAAUGGGGGCAACCCUGAUGCAGCCAUGCCGCGUGUGUGAAGAGGGCCUUCGGGUUGUAAAGCACUUUCAGCGAGGAGGAAAGGUUGAUGCCUAAUACGUAUCAACUGUGACGUUACUCGCAGAAGAAGCACCGGCUAACUCCGUGCCAGCCGCCGCCGUAA